Oesophagostomum dentatum (nodular worm) is the source of this 70-nucleotide non-coding RNA. The record is from the annotation of a GenBank genome assembly. NCBI's taxonomy places the organism in Eukaryota, Metazoa, Nematoda, Chromadorea, Rhabditida, Strongylidae.
CUCUCGAAUGGGAUUGAACCAGGGACUUCUCGCCCACUAGCCUAGCUCGCUAUCCACUGCGCUACGAAGA